Molecule: long non-coding RNA, 991 nt
Organism: Perognathus longimembris pacificus (Pacific pocket mouse)
Lineage: Eukaryota; Metazoa; Chordata; Mammalia; Rodentia; Heteromyidae
Exons: 2
Source: RefSeq, a predicted model, not a curated record
CACACACACACACAAAAUUCCCAUUUGUUAAUUAAGCAUGCAUCUUAAUUGCUUUAAGUAAAACUAUUAACAAUAGGUAUCUAUAUUAGGCCAGUGUAAAAAGUAGUCCUAGAAAUUGAGUAUAACAUCCUUGAGGUAAGGAAGCUUCAAAAGCUGAAGCUUCAGAAGUGAAGUUGCUUGACUUGAAAUUCACAGUUUACAAGCCAGACACUGGCGGCUCACGCCUGUAAUCCUUGUUCCUCAGGAGGCUGAGAUCUGAGGAUUGUGGUUCAAAACCAUCCCCUAGAAAAGUCUGUGAGACUCUUCAAUUAACCAUCAGAAAAAUGGAAGUGCAGCAAUGACUCAGAAGAACAAGGCUCAGCCCCAUCCAUGACUGACAAAACCAGAAACAACCCCAGAAAUUCACAGUUGAUACCGAAAACUUCCUGCUAUCUCUUCUAUGGUACUGCGUCCUACUAUUUCUUUUUGUUUUAAUAAAAAGAGAUCGUGUUUACUAUUGAUUAAUUAAAUUAAUAUUGAUGUAUUUACACUUUUGUAAAUACACCAUUUCUUUGACUAAAUAGAUGUAAAUGUUUACCUUUAUUGUUUUAAUCUUAAUCUCCCUUGUGUAGUACUGGCAUGCUAGACAUACUGUACCACUUAGCCAAACCUCUAGCCUUAAACUUCGCCUUUUCUUUUCACAUUCCUCUGAUAACUAUUCUGUACCUUGAAAAGAUGGUAUGGACAGAUAGAUGGAUAGAAUGAUUAAUAGAAAUGGGAGCUAUGUAAUCUCUGAAUUUGUUGGUGUAUGUAGAAGAGUGCUCCACUCAAGUGCUCUUGAAACAGUUCAUUUGAGUUGAGAUAUUUGGGAUUUUUUUUUUCAGAAGUGAUGAAACCUUAGGCCCUGGUUGAGUGCACAGAUGCCUAUGUAAUUUUCAGUGUAGCUGCCCUAUCUCAUCUUGGUGCUAAGGAGUUUAAACAGCUUUUAACCUGUUGUGUCCAUAGGUGAAGC